AAUGGUAUCAGUGGUAGGGGAGCGUUCUAAGGACAGUGAAGUCAGACCGGAAGGACUGGUGGAGUGCUUAGAAGUGAGAAUGCCGGUAUGAGUAGCGAAAGACGGGUGAGAAUCCCGUCCACCGAAUGCCUAAGGUUUCCUGAGGAAGGCUCGUCCGCUCAGGGUUAGUCAGGACCUAAGCCGAGGCCGACAGGCGUAGGCGAUGGACAACAGGUUGAUAUUCCUGUACCACCUCUUUAUCGUUUGAGCAAUGGAGGGACGCAGAAGGAUAGAAGAAGCGUGCGAUUGGUUGUGCACGUCCAAGCAGUUAGGCUGAUAAGUAGGCAAAUCCGCUUAUCGUAAAGGCUGAGCUGUGAUGGGGAAGCUCCUUAUGGAGCGAAGUCUUUGAUUCCCCGCUGCCAAGAAAAGCUUCUAGCGAGAUAAAAGGUGCCUGUACCGCAAACCGACACAGGUAGGCGAGGAGAGAAUCCUAAGGUGUGCGAGAGAACUCUGGUUAAGGAACUCGGCAAAAUGACCCCGUAACUUCGGGAGAAGGGGUGCUUUCUUAACGGAAAGCCGCAGUGAAUAGGCCCAAGCGACUGUUUAGCAAAAACACAGCUCUCUGCGAAGCCGUAAGGCGAAGUAUAGGGGGUGACACCUGCCCGGUGCUGGAAGGUUAAGGAGAGGGGUUAGCGUAAGCGAAGCUCUGAACUGAAGCCCCAGUAAACGGCGGCCGUAACUAUAACGGUCCUAAGGUAGCGAAAUUCCUUGUCGGGUAAGUUCCGACCCGCACGAAAGGUGUAACGAUUUGGGCACUGUCUCAACCAGAGACUCGGUGAAAUUAUAGUACCUGUGAAGAUGCAGGUUACCCGCGACAGGACGGAAAGACCCCGUGGAGCUUUACUGUAGCCUGAUAUUGAAUUUUGGUACAGUUUGUACAGGAUAGGCGGGAGCCUUUGAAACCGGAGCGCUAGCUUCGGUGGAGGCGCUGGUGGGAUACCGCCCUGACUGUAUUGAAAUUCUAACCUACGGGUCUUAUCGACCCGGGAGACAGUGUCAGGUGGGCAGUUUGACUGGGGCGGUCGCCUCCUAAAGUGUAACGGAGGCGCCCAAAGGUUCCCUCAGAAUGGUUGGAAAUCAUUCGUAGAGUGCAAAGGCAUAAGGGAGCUUGACUGCGAGACCUACAAGUCGAGCAGGGACGAAAGUCGGGCUUAGUGAUCCGGUGGUUCCGCAUGGAAGGGCCAUCGCUCAACGGAUAAAAGCUACCCCGGGGAUAACAGGCUUAUCUCCCCCAAGAGUCCACAUCGACGGGGAGGUUUGGCACCUCGAUGUCGGCUCAUCGCAUCCUGGGGCUGUAGUCGGUCCCAAGGGUUGGGCUGUUCGCCCAUUAAAGCGGUACGCGAGCUGGGUUCAGAACGUCGUGAGACAGUUCGGUCCCUAUCCGUCGUGGGCGUAGGAAAUUUGAGAGGAGCUGUCCUUAGUACGAGAGGACCGGGAUGGACGCACCGCUGGUGUACCAGUUGUUCUGCCAAGGGCAUAGCUGGGUAGCUAUGUGCGGAAGGGAUAAGUGCUGAAAGCAUCUAAGCAUGAAGCCCCCCUCAAGAUGAGAUUUCCCAUAGCGUAAGCUAGUAAGAUCCCUGAAAGAUGAUCAGGUUGAUAGGUUCGAGGUGGAAGCAUGGUGACAUGUGGAGCUGACGAAUACUAAUAGAUCGAGGACUUAACCAUAUAA
This 1708-nucleotide ribosomal RNA is filed under the name Bacillus cereus. Its description in RNAcentral is "bacterial LSU rRNA". It matches the Rfam family "Bacterial large subunit ribosomal RNA", at positions 1215 to 2925 of the family's 2925-position model. The record is from RNAcentral. Lineage: Bacteria; Bacillati; Bacillota; Bacilli; Caryophanales; Bacillaceae.